GGAGGGGUGGCAGAGCGGCUGAAUGCACCGGUCUUGAAAACCGGCGGGCGUAAGCCCACGUGGGUUCGAAUCCCACCCCCUCCG
RNAcentral lists this transfer RNA (84 nucleotides) under Gemmatimonadota bacterium. Its description in RNAcentral is "tRNA-Ser". It matches the Rfam family "tRNA". Rfam says of the family: Transfer RNA (tRNA) molecules are approximately 80 nucleotides in length. Their secondary structure includes four short double-helical elements and three loops (D, anti-codon, and T loops). The record is from RNAcentral. RNAcentral also lists the same sequence under 6 other names. Lineage: Bacteria; Pseudomonadati; Gemmatimonadota.